CCACGUUUGAAACAUUAUAAAAGUUAAAAAAUGUUGAAGCAAAGCCUAUGCUCAAUCGAAAACAUAUCUAAAACCAAGUAAAAUAUGUUAUUUGUAUGUUCAGCAUGUGGAAGAAUAUGAGUUUGAAUAUCAAGUCCAAUAUACCAAACAUGCUGGUAUCUUUUGGACUCAAUGAUUGGUCUUAUGUAUUCUCUAAAAAUAAUAUACCUUGACCUUGCCAAUAAUUAACUAGAAACUUUGAAUCUCUUUACAUUUACUAUAUAGGCAUAUUACAUCAAGCUUGGCCAGUGUAAUUUCAAGGUCUUUACUCUCUAUCCAUGUCCCUCCCCUCUCUAUCUAUGUCCCUUCCCAGGAGGAAUAACGAGGGUUGGUGCUGGGUUUUGGAUGUCAAAUCUCACGAACGUUCUAUCACUCCACAUAUGUUUAUCGCAAAUGAUUUACCAACAACUAGUAACCUUUGUUUCCACGAAUUCGAGCUCGCAUGUCAACCUGGAAGAAAGGGGGGAAAUAUACAUGGUUAGAGUAGGAGCACAACUAAGUUUAGCAAUAAUAACUCAAGAUCCAGGUCAAGACAGAAAUCAUCACGAAAGAAGUAAUUUAGUUUACGAGAAUCUUCAGGAAACAUACAACUUGGUCAGCCUUUUCAUAACCAAAAAUUGCACAAAGAAAGAAUAGCAAUUUACUUGUUUUUACAUUUUUACUCGAGGCAAUCUCAUAAGAUGAACCUUCAAACAUGACCCAAAAAACAAAUAAAUGCAGUUUCCUUACUUUCCAGCACCAUGCAUGGUAAAUGAUCAGCAUAACGGAGAAUGCGGAUCAGUGAUAGCGUUCACUUCAACUUUUAGGUUGUAUCUUAUGCUAAUGAUUGGGAUCCAGGGAAGAAACAAUUGUUGAGAUAAAUUACGUCGGUAACGAAAAAUUGACUAUGCUAGUCAAACUUCUAUCCUACGAUGCACAGACACGGAUACAUAUGGGUGACAUGAGACGUGUCAGAUACAUUGACACACAAUUUUUCAAAAAAGUAUUAACAUGACAAGUCAAUUAAAUUCUUUAAAAUUCUUCAUUUAUAUAGUAUAUAUUUUGUUUUACACUUCUUAUUAAUUUUUCUUGUUAAAAUCUUUUAAAUAUAAGUAUUUAUUUGCUAUUUAUUAAUAACUUCAAGUUAAAAAUCUAUAAUAUUUCUAAUUAAAAAAGAAAAAUAAUUAAGGUGUAGUGUCAGAGAAAUAUUAGUAUCCAACACGUGCCGGAUAUAAAUAUGUUACUGUAGUUGAAGUGUCCGUACAACGGAGCUUUUACUGAUUAAUUAGCUUUUUUCAACAAAUUUACAAACGAAUAAAACCUAAAUUCGCUAGAAGUAUAACCAUCACUGCAAUGAAUGAAAUACAUAUUUAACAUGUAAUUAAGAAUCAACUAAAGGCAGAAGAAUAGUAAGCUACUGACAGAGUAAUUUUCUCUAAUACAAUAAGUUUUCUGAAAUAGAAAUUCCAACAAAUAAUGCUCUGAAUGUGUGGAUGUGCAACAGUGUUCAUUUCCAGGACAUGAUGUUCACCUCAUCAUAUGAUAUUGAUUUAG
This 1572-nucleotide long non-coding RNA is filed under the name Olea europaea subsp. europaea. The record is from RNAcentral. Lineage: Eukaryota; Viridiplantae; Streptophyta; Magnoliopsida; Lamiales; Oleaceae.